GCUCCGGGGCCGCCCUCUUUCCCUGCCUCGCGACACCCAGACCGAGACCUCGGGAAUGCUCCGGCCCCCUGCCGCCGUCUCCCGGCCCGGUUCUCUUUCACUAAAAAUAGGCGAUUCUGGCAGCGCCCCUCCUAUGGGGCCUUGGGGGCAAUUGGGGUUUUGUCUUAGAGCCCGUGUGGACCCGGAUGGCGACGGCAGCCCGAGGAGAGGGAGGGCUGACUGUAUGGUUGGCUUUCCGACGACCAGACCCUGCAGGAUUCGGCCUUUCCCUUUGGAGUUUUCCUCCAUCCCCCUCCGUCCCUCCCAGGGGAUGCCCGCAGGCCACAGUGGUCACUGAAGGUCAACCCUGAGCCGAAGGAGAAGUGGCCUCGACCCUGGGGACCCCUUCAGAAGUCUACCUGUGCCUGCGCCCGCCGGACCUGCCGGCCUCUUCCUUCUCAUCCAGGGGGCCUCUUCUCCAGCCUCACGGAGGUGGGAAGCUUGCUGGAGGCCCCUACCUGCCUUUUGGGGAAGACCCCGAGGCUGGCCCACGCCCUGCUGGCAGGACCCUUCCUGACUGGGUCCACCGUUCUUCUGGGUCUCACCACUUCUCCCAGCCCCUGGGCUGCUUCCUCUCUCCCGUGUCUGGGACCCCAGAGGCACCACUUCCAUUCCAUACAAGCUUGCAGAGUCAAGACGAACUCUAACUCAUGGGAUGGACAAACUGGAAGAUGUAAAAUAAGUAAGGCUUUCUGGGCCAAAAAGCCUCUUCUUACAGAAAAUCAAAUUUUAAAAGAACAUUGACCUCAAAACAAUAAAACUGUCCUGGUUAUGCAAUAGAAAUAGCUAUAUAAAUGGAAUCAUAUCCUUAAUGAACACCUCCUGUGGCUACCCAACUUUUCACACAUCUUACUGAUUAUAGGCCUUGCUGUGAAUGCUUUCUUGCUCUAUCUGAAGUAUUCCCACCAGAGUUGUUUCCAACUUUAUUUCCUAUAUUAUGAAAAAUGAAGUUUUUUUAACAUUGUAACAAAGUAUAUGAAAGAUAAUGUAUACUGUAUUAAAUAAACCAUUAUACAAAAAUA
This is a long non-coding RNA of Homo sapiens (human), 1061 nucleotides long. Ensembl annotates it as TRIM52 antisense RNA 1 (head to head). Its record names the gene TRIM52-AS1. Lineage: Eukaryota; Metazoa; Chordata; Mammalia; Primates; Hominidae. The record is from Ensembl.